RNAcentral lists this ribosomal RNA (255 nucleotides) under Enterococcus faecium. RNAcentral describes it as "partial 23S ribosomal RNA". It matches the Rfam family "Bacterial large subunit ribosomal RNA", at positions 181 to 437 of the family's 2925-position model. The record is from RNAcentral. Lineage: Bacteria; Bacillati; Bacillota; Bacilli; Lactobacillales; Enterococcaceae.
AGACGCAGAGAACUGAAACAUCUAAGUACCUGCAGGAAGAGAAAGAAAAUUCGAUUCCCUGAGUAGCGGCGAGCGAAACGGGAAAAGCCCAAACCAACAAGCUUGCUUGUUGGGGUUGUAGGACUCCGAUAUGGUCGUUCUUUCAGAUAGUCGAAUGACUUGGAAAAGUCAGUCAAAGAGGGUAAAAACCCCGUAGACGAAAUGUGGAAGACACCUAGGAGGAUCCUGAGUACGGCGGAACACGAGAAAUUCCGU